CUAUAAGACUGGGAUAACUUCGGGAAACCGGAGCUAAUACCGGAUACGUUCUUUUCUCGCAUGAGAGAAGAUGGAAAGACGGUUUACGCUGUCACUUAUAGAUGGGCCCGCGGCGCAUUAGCUAGUUGGUGAGGUAAUGGCUCACCAAGGCGACGAUGCGUAGCCGACCUGAGAGGGUGAUCGGCCACACUGGGACUGAGACACGGCCCAGACUCCUACGGGAGGCAGCAGUAGGGAAUCUUCCGCAAUGGACGAAAGUCUGACGGAGCAACGCCGCGUGAACGAAGAAGGCCUUCGGGUCGUAAAGUUCUGUUGUUAGGGAAGAACAAGUACCAGAGUAACUGCUGGUACCUUGACGGUACCUAACCAGAAAGCCACGGCUAACUACGUGCCAGCAGCCGCGGUAAUACGUAGGUGGCAAGCGUUGUCCGGAAUUAUUGGGCGUAAAGCGCGCGCAGGUGGUUCCUUAAGUCUGAUGUGAAAGCCCACGGCUCAACCGU
This 500-nucleotide ribosomal RNA is filed under the name Bacillus sp. MY-CB134. Its description in RNAcentral is "bacterial SSU rRNA". It matches the Rfam family "Bacterial small subunit ribosomal RNA", at positions 130 to 616 of the family's 1533-position model. Lineage: Bacteria; Bacillati; Bacillota; Bacilli; Caryophanales; Bacillaceae. The record is from RNAcentral.